CAAUAGCGUAUAUUUAAGUUGUUGCAGUUAAAAAGCUCGUAGUUGGAUUUCUGCCGAGGACGACCGGUCCGCCCUCUGGGUGAGUAUCUGGCUCGGCCUGGGCAUCUUCUUGGAGAACGUAGCUGCACUUGACUGUGUGGUGCGGUAUCCAGGACUUUUACUUUGAGGAAAUUAGAGUGUUUCAAGCAGGCUUACGCCUUGAAUACAUUAGCAUGGAAUAAUAAGAUAGGACCUCGGUUCUAUUUUGUUGGUUUCUAGAGCUGAGGUAAUGAUUAAUAGGGAUAGUUGGGGGCAUUCGUAUUUAACUGUCAGAGGUGAAAUUCUUGGAUUUACGCAAGACAAACAGCUGCGAAAGCGUCUGCCAAGGAUGUUUUCAUUAA
This 380-nucleotide ribosomal RNA is filed under the name uncultured eukaryote. RNAcentral describes it as "partial 18S ribosomal RNA". It matches the Rfam family "Eukaryotic small subunit ribosomal RNA", at positions 592 to 976 of the family's 1831-position model. The record is from RNAcentral.